ACAGCGUUCGUGCCCGACAAUAAUUUAACCGUAACGUAAUGUAAAACAUUAUUUCAGUGGUUCCAGUUUACUUCUCCCUCCCUCUCUCCGCCGAUCGUUAUUGACAUCGAUUGCUUGCACGACUGUUGACACACCGGACGUUUUAAUCUCCCUCAAACGUCAAACGCUCGAACUACUACGACCACCCUCUCGUUCGCAACUCUUGCUGUUCCUGCUGUAGUCUAUUGAUCUGCCCGUUCAGGCGACGUUUUUGCCCAUCGCGCGACCGAGCACCGACAUCGUCACUGUGUAGGUUAGGAACUCAAGCAUACGAUUUAAAUGCCCAGCAAAAAGAGAAAGUUCAACGCCCGUUUUCCUGCUGUGAGUAUAAA
Molecule: long non-coding RNA, 371 nt
Organism: Sipha flava (yellow sugarcane aphid)
Lineage: Eukaryota; Metazoa; Arthropoda; Insecta; Hemiptera; Aphididae
Exons: 2
Source: RefSeq, a predicted model, not a curated record